Molecule: signal recognition particle RNA, 147 nt
Filed under: Gorilla gorilla gorilla (western lowland gorilla)
Lineage: Eukaryota; Metazoa; Chordata; Mammalia; Primates; Hominidae
Description: Metazoan signal recognition particle RNA
Rfam family: Metazoan signal recognition particle RNA
About the family: The signal recognition particle (SRP) is a universally conserved ribonucleoprotein. It is involved in the co-translational targeting of proteins to membranes.
Source: Rfam by way of RNAcentral
GCUGGGUGUGGUGGUGUGCACCUGUAAUCCCAGCUACUCUGGAAGCUGAGGCAGGAGAAUUGCUGAACCCAGGAGUCCUGGGUUGCAGUGAGCUGAGAUCAUAUCACUGUACUCCAGCCUGAGUGACAGAGCAAGACUCCGUCUCCA